This 250-nucleotide unclassified non-coding RNA is filed under the name plant metagenome. RNAcentral's name for it is "partial contains small subunit ribosomal RNA, internal transcribed spacer 1, and 5.8S ribosomal RNA". The record is from RNAcentral.
GUAGGUGAACCUGCGGAAGGAUCAUUAACACGUAUCCAACGUUUAAACCAAUCUGUGAACUUUUGUAACUCGUGUUGAGCUUGGUCGAUUGACUGAGACACUUUGGGUGGCGAAGAAAACAGACUUCAUUGUCUACUUUUUUUCAAAGCUCAAGGUUCUCUGACCAACGCUCAUAUUUUUACUAACCAAUUUAACCCCUUGUACUUUACAUUUGUACUAAACUACUUUUUUUUCCUUCAAAUUUAUUUGA